AGGGUACUUGCCGGAAGGAUAUUCACACAUUCGGUCUAACAACACGGUUUCCACCCAGUUGUCAUUACCAGUACUUGCCUCCUUUGGUGGUUUUGGGCUGUGUUUGAUCUGGUUGUAUGGAGCUGUAUGUUUUGACUGAGCCUCUCUAACCUUACCCAUCCAACCUUUGAAUCUGACGUUUUUUUACCCUACCUAACACCGAUUUUUUUCUGCUACCUUUUACUUAUUUUGUCCAUGUGGUUGCAAUAAUGUGAGGUAAUAUGGAAUGAGGGGAAUGGGGGUGCUAGCGGGGGAUAUUGAAGGGUUUUAUAAAUUCCUGUGGAAUCAAGCAGGGCUCAGGGUAACCAAAUUUUAUAGACCUGAAAGCAGUUCGAGUUUACCCAA
Molecule: unclassified non-coding RNA, 384 nt
Filed under: Isospora sp. pr2
Lineage: Eukaryota; Apicomplexa; Conoidasida; Eucoccidiorida; Eimeriidae
Description: sequence contains ITS1, 5.8S rRNA gene, ITS2
Source: RNAcentral